Molecule: long non-coding RNA, 823 nt
Organism: Diceros bicornis minor
Lineage: Eukaryota; Metazoa; Chordata; Mammalia; Perissodactyla; Rhinocerotidae
Exons: 3
Source: RefSeq, a predicted model, not a curated record
CAGGCCACAACAAUGGCCACCGCCAAUGUCCCAGUCCCUGGAGAGGUCUCACCUCUCACCGAGAAGCACUCAGAGCCUAUCAGGGGAUGCCUGGGUCAUGGAAAUAAAUCCUACCAAUAACCAGUGAGAUUGCAAGAGGACCUCAAACCUCAGAUGGAAGGGACUUUGUGGCAAGUUAUGUGGGCAGUCUCUAGGAGCAGAGAACAGCUCUCAGAUGACAGCCAGCAAAGAAACAGGGACUGCAGUCCUACAACCACAAGCAACUGAAUUCAGCCAACAACCUCAAUUAACAUGGAAACAGAUUUUCUCCCAGAGCCCCCAAAUGAAAAUACAACUGGUCAACACUUUGACUUCAGCAUUGCAAGACCCUGAGUGAAGAACUCAGCCAUUUCAUGUCUGAACCUCUGACCCACAAAACUGUGGGCUAACAAACGGGUGUGGUUUUAAGCUGCUAAAUUUAUGGUAACUUGUUUUGCAGCGAUAGAAAACUAAUAUAUACAUACUUUGCACAAAAGUGACUCUGGCCUGUGGCGAUAGGUGCUAUCUGAACAACAGCCACUCUUACGCACACUUUGACUUUCCUGAAUCACGCACAUGAAUGAGAUUGGUGUUAUGAACCAGCAGAUUUUAUAUAUCAAGUUGGAUUCAUAGAAUCACCAAGAUCUGUUGUGACUAAGUUAAAAAAAUUCAUUAAGAAAUCAUUGGUAGGAAGAGCAGAAUCCUAAAUAGUUCAAAAUUCUCCUAUCAGAAUCAGAACUCAGAGAACCUGAGUUCAAAAUUUUAAAUGGCCCUGGAGACUAGGUCAUCAUAAUAAAGCAUUAUA